Molecule: non-coding RNA, 93 nt
Organism: Lasiosphaeria hispida
Lineage: Eukaryota; Fungi; Ascomycota; Sordariomycetes; Sordariales; Lasiosphaeriaceae
Source: the annotation of a GenBank genome assembly
GGGCCGCUGGUCUAGUGGUAUGAUUCUCGCUUAGGGUAACACCCUACAGCAGUGUUUUGCGAGACGUCCCGGGUUCAAUCCCCGGGUGGCCCC